CUGGCUCGCGCCCCCACGGAGCAGCUCAGGUCUGGCACGGCAAACAGGGAAGAAGCAGCCGAGUUCUUCCUGCGCGCUCCUCUGCCGGCACCCUGCGUCUCCUAUGGCGUGCGCCCGCCGAGGUCCUUCCCAUGGCGCUCUGCUCCAGCUCCCGCGCUCGGCCUUAGCCUGGUAGAUCUCCCUGGUGCUUGCCCCUCGAUGCCAUACUCGGUCGCCAUGGCUGACUCAUCGGAUCUCGCACGUCCCUGCGUCCUCUCCAUCUCCCUAUGCUCUGCGCGCGUGCCCAGCCGAGUCCCUCUCCAUCCCCAUGGCGUCCAACUCGGCCUGCGUGCCGCGGCGCUUGCCCAUGGUGGCGUGUCUCUCUCCCAGCCGUUGAAUCCCGCCCGUCCGCGCUCUGUCCAGUCCCUAGCUCGGUUUUCCUCAGCCGCGGACACCGUCGAGCUCGGGUCCUAUUCGUCGUCCGUCCACGCGUCAUACGUGGAGCAACGUAGGAAAAUCUGCAGCCUAAGCCUUGGUCAAUGUCUAUGUGGAUUUGGGAAAGGAGACUAUGAAGUCGGCUUGUGUUGCAUGUCUGGUGCUUGGUGA
This 585-nucleotide unclassified non-coding RNA is filed under the name Zea mays. RNAcentral describes it as "misc RNA Zm00001eb154970". Lineage: Eukaryota; Viridiplantae; Streptophyta; Magnoliopsida; Poales; Poaceae. The record is from RNAcentral.